GACGAACGCUGGCGGCGUGCUUAACACAUGCAAGUCGAACGGGCCUUGUCCCCUUUUUUUUUGGGGGUGGGGUUAGUGGCGAACGGGUGAGUAACACGUGAGUAACCUGCCCCUCACUUCUGGAUAACCGCUUGAAAGGGUGGCUAAUACGGGGUGUUCUGGCCUGCUCGCAUGGGUGGGUUUGGAAAGAUUCGACCGGUUUUGGUUGUUUUGGUGGGGGAUGGGCUCGCGGCCUAUCAGCUUGUUGGUGGGGUGAUGGCCUGCCAAGGCUUUGACGGGUAGCCGGCCUGCGAGGGUGGGCGGUCACACUGGGACUGAGACACGGCCCAGACUCCUACGGGAAGCAGCAGUGGGGAAUAUUGCACAAUGGGCGCAAGCCUGAUGCAGCGACGCCGCGUGAGGGAUGGAGGCCUUCGGGUUGUGAACCUCUUUCGCCAGUGAAGAAGGUCCUGCUCUUUGUGGUGGGGUUGACGGUAGCUGGGUUAAUGAAGCGCCGGCUAACUACGUG
This 508-nucleotide ribosomal RNA is filed under the name uncultured bacterium. Its description in RNAcentral is "partial 16S ribosomal RNA". It matches the Rfam family "Bacterial small subunit ribosomal RNA", at positions 28 to 507 of the family's 1533-position model. The record is from RNAcentral.